Long non-coding RNA from Lycium barbarum (goji berry), 1448 nucleotides. RefSeq lists it as uncharacterized. The transcript is spliced from 6 exons. The record is from RefSeq and is a predicted model, not a curated record. Lineage: Eukaryota; Viridiplantae; Streptophyta; Magnoliopsida; Solanales; Solanaceae.
UAGAUUUGGAGAUGUUUUUUGCUUCUUUUCCAUGAGACCUUUUGCGAUUUAAUUUGAGGAUCGAAAUUUUAUCAUUUGGGUUAAUUUUAUUCGAAAUGUCCUUUUGCAGAAAAGCCAUUUGAUUCGCUUUCAACAAGUUUUGAAUGAUAAUCUACAAGAAUUCUGGACUACAAGAGGGAUAUAUCUGCCAAUGUGAUGCUUUCAUGGAUUUGGACCAAGUUGAUGUAGCCGAUAGGUCAUACUCCAUGGCUUCAGAUUUAGAUUCGUCCAUUUGUCGUUCAAAAUCUUUCAAGGGGGGAUAUUGUAUUAGCAACCUAUUAAGGAUAUGACAUCAAAAAUGACUUUUCCGUCAAGGUGCUAUUAUAUGAUUUAAUUUUCAGAGAGCUCGCUAAUCAAAUAGUUGCACAGUUUGAAGCUUUAGGAGUGCAAUGUGCAGUAGUUUUAAAUUCGCUAAUAAAUGAGGAAGAGUUGGUGGCGUAAUAUAAUAUUCAUAUGGCAGUGUUAAGUGGCUAGCAAAGGAGCAUCUGCUGUACUGACGGUAGUCUACUGGCUAUGCUGAAUGAAAGUCACUCCCAGUUGAAACUCCACGCUCUCUCCAAUCUCAAUGCCUUUGUUGAUUACUUCUGGCCUGAGAUUUCUACAUCAGUCACUGUCAUCUAGAAGUUUUGGGGGGAGAGCUCUUCGUGCAGUUACGACAUAUGAACAGGAAGGGUUAUGAACAAGAAAGGUUAUGGCACCAGACUGGUGAAUCACUUAAAGCAGCUGGCACGCGAUAUGGAUGGGCUUAACUCAUUCUCAAACAUAAGUCGAUGCUAUUGUUCCCAUUUUUUUUAAUUUUUUUUUGUAUUUGUUUCCAUCUGUACUCAUAUGUGAUCAUAUUUAUGAACUACUUAUAAUUUCAUAACUAAACCAUACUUUAUUUGUCAAUUUCUCUCUAAUUUAUGGGAGUUCUAAGUUGAAAGACAUUUGAAAACUUUAUUUUUGCUCGUGCCGAGAAGACUGCACCAGGGCAAUUCUUAUUUACAAGUUUAUGAAGGCAGUGUUUAGAUAGUUUUUUUUUUUUUUUUACAAGUUUAUGAAGGCAGUGUUUAGAUAGUUUUUUUUUUUUUUCCAAAGCAACUUUGAUGGGAAUAAGAGGUAAACACUGGAGCAGAUUUCGAAAGGAAGUGCUAGCUGUAAUAUAUGGUGCCACUAUCUGCAACCUUUGGAUUGCUAGAAAUCACAAAAUUUUCUGAGGACAAAGUGUACAGUGCAGUUACUUAUUACAGCAGAUGCAAAAUUUAAUUAGGGAAAGGCUUAACAUGUAUAGGAAUACCAAGAAGGGUAGGAAGUUUGUUCAUUUGAUUGACUCAUUAUGUACUUAGUUUCUUCAGAGGCUCACCAAUUCUCAGCACCCUACAUAGUAGGUGGUUGAGAUUAUGAGUGCUCUCUUAGGUGUAAUGGUUGGU